GGAGAGGUGCAGGAGUGGUUUAACUGGCACGCCUGGAAAGCGUGUGUAUCGCAAGGUACCGCGAGUUCGAAUCUCGCCCUCUCCG
RNAcentral lists this transfer RNA (85 nucleotides) under Kapaibacterium sp. (SeqCode). RNAcentral's name for it is "tRNA-Ser". It matches the Rfam family "tRNA". From Rfam's summary of the family: Transfer RNA (tRNA) molecules are approximately 80 nucleotides in length. Their secondary structure includes four short double-helical elements and three loops (D, anti-codon, and T loops). Further hydrogen bonds mediate the characteristic L-shaped molecular structure. tRNAs have two regions of fundamental functional importance: the anti-codon, which is responsible for specific mRNA codon recognition, and the 3' end, to which the tRNAs corresponding amino acid is attached (by aminoacyl-tRNA synthetases). tRNAs cope with the degeneracy of the genetic code in two manners: having more than one tRNA (with a specific anti-codon) for a particular amino acid; and 'wobble' base-pairing, i.e. permitting non-standard base-pairing at the 3rd anti-codon position. The record is from RNAcentral. Lineage: Bacteria; Pseudomonadati; Bacteroidota; Eximiradiia; Eximiradiales; Kapaibacteriaceae (SeqCode).